This 462-nucleotide ribosomal RNA is filed under the name Streptococcus anginosus. RNAcentral's name for it is "bacterial SSU rRNA". It matches the Rfam family "Bacterial small subunit ribosomal RNA", at positions 28 to 466 of the family's 1533-position model. Lineage: Bacteria; Bacillati; Bacillota; Bacilli; Lactobacillales; Streptococcaceae. The record is from RNAcentral.
GACGAACGCUGGCGGCGUGCCUAAUACAUGCAAGUAGGACGCACAGUUUAUACCGUAGCUUGCUACACCAUAGACUGUGAGUUGCGAACGGGUGAGUAACGCGUAGGUAACCUGCCUAUUAGAGGGGGAUAACUAUUGGAAACGAUAGCUAAUACCGCAUAACAGUAUGUAACACAUGUUAGAUGCUUGAAAGAUGCAAUUGCAUCGCUAGUAGAUGGACCUGCGUUGUAUUAGCUAGUAGGUAGGGUAAAGGCCUACCUAGGCAACGAUACAUAGCCGACCUGAGAGGGUGAUCGGCCACACUGGGACUGAGACACGGCCCAGACUCCUACGGGAGGCAGCAGUAGGGAAUCUUCGGCAAUGGGGGGAACCCUGACCGAGCAACGCCGCGUGAGUGAAGAAGGUUUUCGGAUCGUAAAGCUCUGUUGUUAAGGAAGAACGAGUGUGAGAAUGGAAAGUUCA